This 460-nucleotide ribosomal RNA is filed under the name Veillonella atypica. RNAcentral describes it as "bacterial SSU rRNA". It matches the Rfam family "Bacterial small subunit ribosomal RNA", at positions 28 to 468 of the family's 1533-position model. The record is from RNAcentral. Lineage: Bacteria; Bacillati; Bacillota; Negativicutes; Veillonellales; Veillonellaceae.
GACGAACGCUGGCGGCGUGCUUAACACAUGCAAGUCGAACGAAGAGCGAUGGAAGCUUGCUUCUAUCAAUCUUAGUGGCGAACGGGUGAGUAACGCGUAAUCAACCUGCCCUUCAGAGGGGGACAACAGUUGGAAACGACUGCUAAUACCGCAUACGAUCCAAUCUCGGCAUCGAGACUGGAUGAAAGGUGGCCUCUAUUUAUAAGCUAUCACUGAAGGAGGGGAUUGCGUCUGAUUAGCUAGUUGGAGGGGUAACGGCCCACCAAGGCGAUGAUCAGUAGCCGGUCUGAGAGGAUGAACGGCCACAUUGGGACUGAGACACGGCCCAGACUCCUACGGGAGGCAGCAGUGGGGAAUCUUCCGCAAUGGACGAAAGUCUGACGGAGCAACGCCGCGUGAGUGAUGACGGCCUUCGGGUUGUAAAGCUCUGUUAAUCGAGACGAAUGGUUCUUGUGCGAAU